AUUGAACGCUGGCGGCAGGCUUAACACAUGCAAGUCGAGCGGAGAGAGGUAGCUUGCUACUGAUCUUAGCGGCGGACGGGUGAGUAAUGCUUAGGAAUCUGCCUAUUAGAGGGGGACAACAUUUCGAAAGGAAUGCUAAUACCGCAUACGUCCUACGGGAGAAAGCAGGGGAUCUUCGGACCCUGCGCUAAUAGAUGAGCCUCAGUCGGAUUAGCUAGUUGGUGGGGUAAAGGCCUACCAAGGCGACGAUCUGUAGCGGGUCUGAGAGGAUGAUCCGCCACACUGGGACUGAGACACGGCCCAGACUCCUACGGGAGGCAGCAGUGGGGAAUAUUGGACAAUGGGCGGAAGCCUGAUCCAGCCAUGCCGCGUGUGUGAAGAAGGCCUUAUGGUUGUAAAGCACUUUAAGCGAGGAGGAGGCUACUUUAGUUAAUACCUAGAGAUAGUGGACGUUACUCGCAGAAUAAGCACCGGCUAACUCUGUGCCAGCCGCCGCGGUAA
RNAcentral lists this ribosomal RNA (501 nucleotides) under uncultured bacterium. RNAcentral's name for it is "partial 16S ribosomal RNA". It matches the Rfam family "Bacterial small subunit ribosomal RNA", at positions 30 to 523 of the family's 1533-position model. The record is from RNAcentral.